CCCGCCUUAACUCAGACUGGUAGAGUGCGCGGCUGUAGUAUAGUCUUCGCUUUUGGCGAACUGCGCGGCUACCGCGAUGUCCCCGGUUCGAAUCCGGGAGGCGGGA
This 106-nucleotide transfer RNA is filed under the name hydrocarbon metagenome. RNAcentral describes it as "tRNA-Tyr". The record is from RNAcentral.